UGCAAACAUAUUUUGCGCUUUAUACCCAUGCCUUCUCUAUUACCGCCCAAAACGUGGUUGGUGAUAUCAAUCCUGGCUCAUAAUCCAUUACGAGAAAGUGGGGCCGGCAAUGGGCUAGCCUUGAGCCAAAGUCACAACCGGGCCAGCCCAGUUCGAUUGACCCUUUUUCCCCUUUGUUUACCUUUAUCUUUUUUGGUCAUAGCUCCUUUGUUCCCUUAAUCUUUUUCAACCUUCCCGGCCUGGCACUAAUAAGUCAGGGCUUGACUAGGGCUGUUCGGCAUUUACUGUAGUGGUAUAAAAUCGGCGUAUCGUAGCAACCCUAAUCGAUCUGGG
Molecule: long non-coding RNA, 333 nt
Filed under: Amborella trichopoda
Lineage: Eukaryota; Viridiplantae; Streptophyta; Magnoliopsida; Amborellales; Amborellaceae
Description: long non-coding RNA (ATRI_LNC000998)
Source: RNAcentral